Poecilia reticulata (guppy) is the source of this 473-nucleotide long non-coding RNA. RefSeq lists it as uncharacterized. The record is from RefSeq and is a predicted model, not a curated record. Lineage: Eukaryota; Metazoa; Chordata; Actinopteri; Cyprinodontiformes; Poeciliidae.
GCUAACAGUAGCUGGCUUCCCACUGAGCACAAUAACUAUAUGCUAUAGCAUAUCCCUCCUCGUCUUUACAUCUGGAACAUGACGCCGAGAUGAGCAUCAGAGCAGCCAGACUGAGCAGGAAGAUCCAGCGACUGGAAGAAAGAGGCGACAUGAUGCUGCAAACCUGGAGGAGAGGAAGACUGAACGUCUGAAACUCUGAACGUCUGGAAGACUGAACGUCUGAAACUCUGAACGUCUGAAACUCUGAACGUCUGAAACUCUGAACGUCUGAAAGCUGCUUCGCUUCUGGAGCUGCGAUGAAGGAACCAGAGGAUGACGAUCUUUUAUAGCAGAAAAAUAGGAAGCUGUGUUGUCAUGGGACACGUCUGCAGUGGAAACAAUAAUUUUCAGAUUCUCACCUUUGCCAGUUUUUGUCGGAGUUCCUCAGAGUUUGGGUCGAUGCACCUCCACGUUCCCCUCUGGCUCUUGAUUCU